This 468-nucleotide ribosomal RNA is filed under the name uncultured bacterium. RNAcentral describes it as "partial 16S ribosomal RNA". It matches the Rfam family "Bacterial small subunit ribosomal RNA", at positions 28 to 507 of the family's 1533-position model. The record is from RNAcentral.
GACGAACGCUGGCGGCGUGCUUAAUACAUGCAAGUCGAACGGGAAGCCUAUGAAUUCGUGCGGUGGUCGAGUGAGGAACGCGCGCGUAAGACGAGCGCGACCUGAACUUGCCUUUGGGAUAACUAUAGCAAACCGGAACUCAUAUCGAUACGGAAUGCCUGCAUUAUGAUGGGGCUUGCAAAGUUUCGGCGGUUAGGGAUGGAGGCGCGGCUUACCUGACUGUAGGUGGGGUAGUGGCUUACCAAAGCUUAGACGGGUAGUGGGCCUGAGAGGAUGACCGGCCACAUUAGGACUGGGAUGCGGCCCGGACUCCUACGGGAGGCAGCAGUGGGGAAUAUUGCACAAUGGGCUGAAGCCUGAUGCAGCAACGCCGCGUGUGGUGUGACGGCCUUCGGGUUGUAAACCACUUUCGCCUGUGACGAAACGUGAGUGACGGUAAUGGAUAAAGAAGCACCGGCUAACUACGUG